CACAAACACAGGAUUGGUCGGUAGGUAGCUAAAACACAAACAUUGGUAAACAACAACGGGCUUGGUAGGUAGCUAAAACACAAACACUGGUAAACAACAACAGGCUUGGUCGGUAGGUAGCUAAAACACAAACACUGGUAAACAACAACAGGAUUGGUCGGUAGGUAGCUAAAACACAAACACUGGUAAACAACAACAGGCUUGGUCGGUAGGUAGCUAAAACACAAACACUGGUAAACAACAACGGGCUUGUUAGGUAGCUAAAACACAAACACUGGUAAACAACAACGGGCUUGUUAGGUAGCUAAAACACAAACACUGGUUAACAACAACAGGCUUGGUCGGUAGGUAGCUAAAACACAAACACUGGUAAACAACAACAGGCUUGGUCGGUAGGUAGCUAAAACACAAACACUGGUAAACAACAACAGGCUUGUUAGGUAGCUAAAACACAAACACUGGUUAACAACAACAGGCUUGUUAGGUAGGUAGCUAAAACACAAACACUGGUAAACAACAACAGGCUUGUUAGGUAGCUAAAACACAAACACUGGUAAACAACAACGGGC
Molecule: long non-coding RNA, 569 nt
Organism: Oncorhynchus tshawytscha (Chinook salmon)
Lineage: Eukaryota; Metazoa; Chordata; Actinopteri; Salmoniformes; Salmonidae
Source: Ensembl